This 603-nucleotide ribosomal RNA is filed under the name uncultured Rhodoferax sp. RNAcentral's name for it is "bacterial SSU rRNA". It matches the Rfam family "Bacterial small subunit ribosomal RNA", at positions 50 to 645 of the family's 1533-position model. Lineage: Bacteria; Pseudomonadati; Pseudomonadota; Betaproteobacteria; Burkholderiales; Comamonadaceae. The record is from RNAcentral.
UACAACUGCAGUUUAAACGGCAGCACGGGAGCAAUCUGGUGGUAGUGGCGAACGGGUGAGUAUGUAUCGGAACGUGCCCAGUCGUCGGGGGAUAACGCAGCGAAAGCUGUGCUAAUACCGCAUACGAUCUAUGAGAUGAAAGCGGGGGAUCGCAAGACCUCGCGCGAUUGGAGCGGCCGAUAUCAGAUUAGUAGUUGGUGGGGUAAAGGCCCACCAAGCCGACGAAUCUGUAGCUGGUCUGAGAAGGACGACCAGCCACACUGGAAACUGAGAACACGGUCCACACUCCUACGGGAGGCAGCAGUGGGGAAUUUUGGACAAUGGGCGCAAGCCUGAUCCAGCAAUGCCGCGUGCAGGAUGAAGGCCUUCGGGUUGUAAACUGCUUUUGUACGGAACGAAACGGUGAGCUCUAAUAAAGUUUGCUAAUGACGGUACCGUAAGAAUAAGCACCGGCUAACUACGUGCCAGCAGCCGCGGUAAUACGUAGGGUGCGAGCGUUAAUCGGAAUUACUGGGCGUAAAGCGUGCGCAGGCGGUUAUGUAAGACAGAUGUGAAAUCCCCGGGCUCAACCUUGGGACCUGCAUUUGUGACUGCAUAGCUAAU